This 441-nucleotide long non-coding RNA is filed under the name Rhinolophus ferrumequinum (greater horseshoe bat). RNAcentral's name for it is "lncRNA (ENSRFEG00010011425.1)". Lineage: Eukaryota; Metazoa; Chordata; Mammalia; Chiroptera; Rhinolophidae. The record is from RNAcentral.
GCGGGUCCGCCCGCCAGCCCGGCCGGAGGCAGCCGAGGCCGCUCGGGCGGCGGCCGCGGGAGCCGGAGCGCAGCGCGUGGAGGAAACGGAGCGGCGGCACUGCCGGGUUGCCCAUGUGCACACCAAGCUGUUCUUGAACAGAAUGCAGGAACCAGGUCCUGCUCCCCAGGCUGGCCUACACUGGCGCAGACAUCCACGAGCUGUCUACAGGCCCUCUGCACACCAGGCUCUCUGUCCCUACCCCAGACCUGAUCCCGUGUCAGAGAACCUCGAGCUGGGACUUGAGAAGCUGGCUUCUUCCAGGGGACGCUUUCAGAAUGGACAUGUUACCAGCUGGAUCAUGCCUGCCUCCCAGAACCUGUUUCUUCCUCUGGAAAAUAAGAACACAACACCUGCCUGCCAGGUGUACGAGGUCUGCACAUACGUAAACAUAAUAAAGGC